Molecule: transfer RNA, 65 nt
Filed under: Rhinebothroides sp. MZUSP 8013
Lineage: Eukaryota; Metazoa; Platyhelminthes; Cestoda; Rhinebothriidea; Rhinebothriidae
Also listed under: 3 other names
Description: tRNA-Trp
Source: RNAcentral
AUAAGAUUAAGUUAGGGUAGACUAUAUGUUUUCAAAACAUAAAGUGGUUUUGUUGCCAUCUUAUG